GAUGAACGCUGGCGGCGUGCCUAAUACAUGCAAGUCGAGCGAACAGAUGAGGAGCUUGCUCCUCUGACGUUAGCGGCGGACGGGUGAGUAACACGUGGAUAACCUACCUAUAAGACUGGGAUAACUUCGGGAAACCGGAGCUAAUACCGCAUAAUAUAUUGAACCGCAUGGUUCAAUAGUGAAAGACGGUUUUGCUGUCACUUAUAGAUGGAUCCGCGCCGCAUUAGCUAGUUGGUAAGGUAACGGCUUACCAAGGCAACGAUGCGUAGCCGACCUGAGAGGGUGAUCGGCCACACUGGAACUGAGACACGGUCCAGACUCCUACGGGAGGCAGCAGUAGGGAAUCUUCCGCAAUGGGCGAAAGCCUGACGGAGCAACACCGCGUGAGUGAUGAAGGUCUUCGGAUCGUAAAACUCUGUUAUUAGGGAAGAACAAAUGUGUAAGUAACUAUGCACGUCUUGACGGUACCUAAUCAGAAAGCCACGGCUAACUACGUG
RNAcentral lists this ribosomal RNA (497 nucleotides) under uncultured bacterium. RNAcentral's name for it is "partial 16S ribosomal RNA". It matches the Rfam family "Bacterial small subunit ribosomal RNA", at positions 28 to 507 of the family's 1533-position model. The record is from RNAcentral.